RNAcentral lists this small nuclear RNA (304 nucleotides) under Chinchilla lanigera (long-tailed chinchilla). RNAcentral describes it as "7SK RNA (ENSCLAG00000021849.1)". It matches the Rfam family "7SK RNA". Rfam says of the family: 7SK was discovered as an abundant small nuclear RNA in the mid-70s but a possible function has only recently been suggested. Two independent studies have found that 7SK RNA binds the CDK9/cyclin T complex (known as elongation factor P-TEFb). Lineage: Eukaryota; Metazoa; Chordata; Mammalia; Rodentia; Chinchillidae. The record is from Rfam by way of RNAcentral.
GGAUGUGAGGCCGAUCUGGCUGUGACGUCCGUCACCCCAUUGGUCUCCAGGGUUGAUUCGGCUGAUGUGGCUGGCGAGGCAGUGUCCCCUCCUCCCUCAGUGCUCCCUCCUGAAGCUGCGCGCUCGGUCAAAGAGGACCACCCCCCCCAAUAGAGGGGGACCGUUCCUCGGUGAAGGGUAUACGAGUAGCUGCCUCCCUUGCUAGAACUCCAGACAAGCUCUCCCUUGGUAUUUAGGUCGUAACUUUGAACUUCCGUCCCUCACACACAAAGAAUUUCUGACUUUCCAGUUCUUGAAGUUCUCU